CCCCUCUCAAAAGGGGGGGGGGCGAUAUUCCUAGGAUAUUCGCCCCCCGGGGCGAAUCUCCUAAGAAUAUCGCCCCCCAGGGGGGCGAAUCUCCUAGGAAUAUCGCCCCCCUUUAGGAAUUUC
This 123-nucleotide microRNA precursor is filed under the name Paramuricea clavata. Lineage: Eukaryota; Metazoa; Cnidaria; Anthozoa; Malacalcyonacea; Plexauridae. The record is from RNAcentral.